UUAUUUUAGUGAUUAUUUUAAAACUUUAUUAUUAUUAUUAUUGAAGGACCUACUUAUAGAACUCUUGAAAGUUUACGGGUUAAAUCGUAAUAUUUUAUAAAAAAUAAAUUGGCCAAUCAAGAUGUGAACAGCCCCCCACGAGUUAUCCUAUCAACCCCCUUUUUGGUAAGCCUAAACCUAGCGCUAGCAAGCUCUUGUCGGUGACAACAACUUCGGUGGCCCAUAAACGAUGGCAACACAGGUGUUUUCUAAUGAGAAACUAAAGGAGAGAACGAAUUCAUAGCCAACAACUUCCAUUGAUGUUUUCGACAAUCCAUGCAUCAAAUGGUUGUGAUUCAGUUGGCAAUGAUUUUCCCUCAACCUACUUCAUUUCUCGACCAAUAUAUGGUGGCCGUUUUCAUGGCUGUUUCCGGCAAGGAAAGGAGGCUGAUUCUUUUUGGUCAAAUCUCGACCAAACAAUGUCCCAUUCAGAUAAUUAGAUCCAAGGAUCAUGACCUCUGUGCCUCAACCUUCAUUUUGAUGCCUUGAUCAUAUAUUAGAUGACGAAGAUAACUGAGUGUAAAUUAGCCAAUCUAUAACAAUUGGAGAGGAAUUUUGACGAAUGGACUUCGGGUCAUGACUAAUGGACUCUAGGCAUCUCGUAUGUGCAUUCGGA
RNAcentral lists this unclassified non-coding RNA (655 nucleotides) under Hevea brasiliensis (rubber tree). Lineage: Eukaryota; Viridiplantae; Streptophyta; Magnoliopsida; Malpighiales; Euphorbiaceae. The record is from RNAcentral.